This 71-nucleotide transfer RNA is filed under the name Bos taurus (domestic cattle). It matches the Rfam family "tRNA". Rfam says of the family: Transfer RNA (tRNA) molecules are approximately 80 nucleotides in length. Their secondary structure includes four short double-helical elements and three loops (D, anti-codon, and T loops). Further hydrogen bonds mediate the characteristic L-shaped molecular structure. tRNAs have two regions of fundamental functional importance: the anti-codon, which is responsible for specific mRNA codon recognition, and the 3' end, to which the tRNAs corresponding amino acid is attached (by aminoacyl-tRNA synthetases). tRNAs cope with the degeneracy of the genetic code in two manners: having more than one tRNA (with a specific anti-codon) for a particular amino acid; and 'wobble' base-pairing, i.e. permitting non-standard base-pairing at the 3rd anti-codon position. Lineage: Eukaryota; Metazoa; Chordata; Mammalia; Artiodactyla; Bovidae. The record is from Rfam by way of RNAcentral. RNAcentral also lists the same sequence under 4 other names.
UCCCUGGUGGUUCAGCGGCUAACACUCUGUUCUCAAUGCAGGAGGCCCAAGUUCGAUUCCUGGUCAGGGAA